GAUCAUGGCUCAGGAUGAACGCUAGCUACAGGCUUAACACAUGCAAGUCGAGGGGCAGCAUGAACUUAGCUUGCUAAGUUUGAUGGCGACCGGCGCACGGGUGAGUAACACGUAUCUAACCUUCCGUUUACUCAGGGAUAGCCUUUCGAAAGAAAGAUUAAUACCUGAUAGUAUGGUGAGAUUGCAUGAUAACACCAUUAAAGAUUUAUUGGUAAACGAUGGGAUGCGUUCCUAUUAGG
RNAcentral lists this ribosomal RNA (239 nucleotides) under uncultured bacterium. Its description in RNAcentral is "partial 16S ribosomal RNA". It matches the Rfam family "Bacterial small subunit ribosomal RNA", at positions 15 to 245 of the family's 1533-position model. The record is from RNAcentral.